This 440-nucleotide ribosomal RNA is filed under the name uncultured bacterium. RNAcentral describes it as "partial 16S ribosomal RNA". It matches the Rfam family "Bacterial small subunit ribosomal RNA", at positions 338 to 795 of the family's 1533-position model. The record is from RNAcentral.
CCUACGGGUGACAGCAGUAGGGAAUAUUGCUCAAUGGGGGAAACCCUGAAGCAGCAACGCCGCGUGGAGGAUGAAGGUUCUCGGAUUGUAAACUCCUUUUGUUAGAGAAGAUAAUGACGGUAUCUAACGAAUAAGCACCGGCUAAAUCCGUGCCAGCAGCCGCGGUAAUACGGAGGGUGCAAGCGUUACUCGGAAUCACUGGGCGUAAAGAGCGCGUAGGCGGGAUAGAAAGUCAGAUGUGAAAUCCUAGGGCUUAACCAUAGAACUGCAAUUGAAACUGUUAUUCUAGAGUAUGGGAGAGGUAGGUGGAAUUCUUGGAGUAGGGGUAAAAUCCGUAGAGAUCAAGAGGAAUACUCAUUGCGAAGGCGACCUGCUAGAACAUAACUGACGCUGAUGCGCGAAAGCGUGGGGAGCAAACAGGAUUAGAUACCCUUGUAGUC